Vitis riparia (riverbank grape) is the source of this 9121-nucleotide RNA transcript. It is a transcript of the gene named chromatin modification-related protein eaf-1-like, with no coding region annotated. The transcript is spliced from 7 exons. The record is from RefSeq and is a predicted model, not a curated record. NCBI's taxonomy places the organism in Eukaryota, Viridiplantae, Streptophyta, Magnoliopsida, Vitales, Vitaceae.
UCUCUUGCUUUCCCUCUCUCGCUUCUUUCAAGAAGAAUCCUCUCUAGGUUUUCACUUAUCUUCAUAACUGGUCUCUCUUCGUAUAAUUUCUUCCUCUUUCCCGAUAUUUCGUAACCCUAACUCUCUUCAUCUUAGCAGACCCCGUUUGGCUUAGGGUUUGAAGUUCGGAGUCGAGUCGAACCCGAUCAAUCCUCUCAUUUGUUAUCAGGUCCAUUCCAUUGAUGUACGAAGGGAGUUGGCGCCAAAUUUUGGGUCAAUAUGGGGUUUGAUAACGAGUGCAUACUAAACAUUCAAUCUCUCGCUGGAGAAUACUUCUGUCCAGUAUGUCGAUUGCUUGUCUAUCCAAAUGAAGCAUUACAGUCACAGUGCACUCAUUUAUACUGCAAACCUUGUUUGGCAUACGUUGUGAGCACCACCCGGGCCUGUCCUUAUGAUGGCUAUUUGGUGACAGAGGCGGAUUCUAAGCCACUAAUAGAAUCAAAUAAAGCGCUAGCGGAAACCAUAGGCAAAAUAGCGGUUCAUUGUCUCUAUCACAGGAGUGGAUGCCAAUGGCAGGGUCCUCUAUCUGAAUGCAUUUCUCAUUGUUCUGGGUGUGCCUUUGGCAAUUCGCCAGUUGUGUGCAACAGGUGUGGAGUUCAAAUUGUGCAUCGUCAAGUGCAAGAACAUGCUCAAAACUGCCCUGGUGUGCAGUCUCAAACACAGCAGGCAGAGGGUGUGCAGGAUGCUGCAGCACAAGGGGCAGCUGCUGCUGCUGAUCAGAGCCAGACUGCUGCACAGGCUGGAGCUCUAGCUUCUCAGACACAACCUGCUCAAAUUACACCUGCUUCUGCGCCUGUGCAGGAUCUAAAUCAGCAGGUCAAUUCUACUGCUCAGGCUGCCGCACCGACUCCUGAACAGUGGUAUCAACAACAACAACAACAAUAUCAGCAAUACUACCAGCAGUAUCCUGGAUAUGACCCUUAUCAGCAGCAUUAUCAGCAGUAUUACCCUUAUCAGCAACAGGCUGUUCAGUAUCAGCAUCCUCAUAUGCAGCCUCAUACUGCACAAUUAUCUGGGCAGCCCCAACCCCAACCCCAACCCCAACCCCAGGCCCAACUACAGCCACUUGUUCAGCCACAACCCCAAACCCAACCCCAGCUUCAGCCACAGCCACAGCCCCAAACCCAACCCCAACUUCAGCCCCAGCCCCAACAACAGCCCCAGAUGCAGCCGCAGCAACAGCCCCAGCCACAACUCCAAUCCCAGCCCCCGGCGCAGGCUCAGCUCCAACCGCAACCUCAACCUCUACUUCAGGCACAGACACAGGCACAAACACAGACACAACCACAACCCCAUUCACUUGUUCAGGCGCCAGUGGCUGUUCAACAUCAAAACCAAGUAGCUAACCAACAGGCACAAAAUCACCCUGUAGCGCAGCAACAUUCUCAAAUUCAAUCACAGACUCAUCCACCACACCAUGGACACCAACAUCCUCAGACUCUGCAGUAUCCCCAAGCUCAAUCACAUCCACAGCCCCAUUCUGUCCAGCCUCGUCCACAACAACAUCUGCAAUUGCCACAAUAUCAGCAGCCUCAUCCUCCAAUGCCACAUCCGCAGUCCCAAAUUCAGCGCCAGCCCAACUCUCAGCUUCUUCCCCAGCAUCAUCACCUGCCCCAGCCCCAGACCCAGCCUCUUUCACAAACCCAGCAGCCCACACUUCAACCCCACCCCCAGCCUCAUCCCCAUCCCCAUGCCCUUCCCCAACAUCACCCUUCUCAACCCAACCAGACUCCAAAUCCUAAUCCUCAGUCUCAGACACAGCCUCCAUCAGCCCAUGCAGUAACGGGCCAUCACUCCUUUCCACAACCCCGGCCCCAGCAGCAAAUGCCUUUGGGGGGCAUGCAGCAGCAACCUAUGCAUAUGCAUCCUCAGGCUCAAUUCCCCCAGCAAUCUCCUCAGAUGCGCCCUUCCCAGGCUCAUGCUCAAAGUCAGCAGCAGUCGGCUUUGUUGCCUUUACCAGGUCAAGCCCAAAAUGUCCUCCCUCCACAGCAGCUACCGGUCCAUCCUCAUCAGCAAGCAGGUCAUCCAGUCCACCAGCGUGCUGCCAUGCAGCCAAUUCAGCAGUCAUUGCCUCACCAGUUUGUCCAGCAGCCACCAUUAGGCACUGGUCAGAAUCAAUUACAUCAGCAAGGGUCUUUCAUGCAACCACCAACACCAACAAUGCAGUCUCAGUUGCGCCCCCAGGCCCCACCUCAAUCAUGGCAGCAACAUUCUCAUGCCUAUCCACAGCCCCAACAGAAGGUUGCAAUGUUGCAUGGCAUGCAACCUCAGCUGCCUCAGAAUGUUGGAAGGCCUGGGAUGCCAAAUCAAGGGGUACAACCACAGCCAUUUCCACAAUCUCAAGCUGGACUUUCUGGUGCCGUUCAGCUUAGGCCGAUGCAUCUUGGGCCUAACCAGCCAUCUGCAAAUCAGACACUGGGCCAACACUUGGAACAGUCUGCUCAUCCACAACCUGGGUUGAAUGUAAAACAAACUACGUUUGAGAAGCCAGGUGAUGAUUUGUCCAAGAAAGGUGUAGGUGGGCAAGAAGGUGAAUCAUUCUCUGAGAAAACCGCUAGAGAGGAUGCGAAUGGUGUGGCUGCAACAUCUGGUAUAGAAUCUAAUACAGUUGAAAUAAAAUCUGAGACAGAUAUGAAAUCCAUGGAUGAGAAACAGAAAACUACUGGUGAAGAUGAGGAUACAAUUAGUAGGAUUAAUAAUUCUGCCAAGGAGAUUCCGGAGUCUAUGCGAGCAUUAGGUUCAGAUCCAGUGCAACAAGCAUCGGAAGAUGGAGAGCCUGUUAUCAAGCAGAUGGUGAAGGAAGAGGUUAUCAAGAGUACAGUAGAGCGUUCACCUGGUGGCAAAUCAAUUGGUAUUGUAGUUGAGGACCAGAAAGAUGAACUCAGUGUCCCUCCUAAACAAGUGGAGCAAGUGGAGCAUUCUUUGCUGCAAGACAAGGAAAUUCAGAAUGGCCUCCUGAUGAAAAACCCCACUAUACAACAAGUGGAGAUUCUUGAUGAAAUGGGUGGAAAGUUGCAGAAGGAUUCAGGGGAUGCCAGUGGGGUCAUGCAGCUUUUCACUGCCACCAAUAGGGGCACAGAAGCUGUUCCUCCAGCUCCAAUUCCUGAUAGCUCUGCUCAAAAUGCUACACCUAGAGGUUCUGUUUCAGUGAGUGAGAGAAAAAUGUUAAAUCAACCUGGUAAUCAGGAAAGGAAUUUGCUUCAAGCCCCAACUAUGCCUCAAGGUCCCAGUAAUGAUGAAUACAGAGGCUUUCCUCCACCUAGUCAGGUGCAAGGCAGGGGCUUUGUGCCCCUUCCUCAUCCAGUGCCAAUUUUGGAUGGGGGAAGGCAUCAGCCACCACCAAUGCAAUAUGGUCCCACUGUCCAGCAAAGGCCUGCAGCGCCUUCUAGCGGACAAGCAAUGCCGCCUCCUGGUCUUGUACAUAAUGCACCAGUGCCAGGUCAACCUUCCACCCAAUUGCAGCCUCAGGCCCUGGGACUCUUACCACAUCCAGCACAACAGUCACGUGGUUCUUUUCAUCAUGAAAUCCCUCCAGGUGGUAUCCUAGGUCCAGGUUCUGCAGCAUCCUUUGGUAGGGGACUGAGUCAUUUUGCUCCUCCUCAAAGAAGCUUUGAACCGCCAUCUGUUGUUUCUCAAGGGCAUUAUAAUCAAGGUCAUGGUCUCCCUUCCCAUGCUGGGCCCUCAAGAAUCUCUCAAGGUGAACUUAUUGGAAGACCUCCACUGGGCCCACUGCCAGCUGGUUCAUUCGAUUCACAUGGUGGAAUGAUGGUAAGAGCUCCUCCGCAUGGUCCUGAAGGUCAGCAGCGGCCUGUUAAUCCAGUGGAAUCUGAAAUAUUUUCAAAUCCAAGGCCCAACUACUUUGAUGGCAGACAAUCUGAUUCACAUAUUCCUGGGUCUUCAGAACGGGGUCCAUUUGGGCAGCCCUCUGGUAUCCAAUCGAAUAUGAUGAGAAUGAAUGGUGGGCUGGGCAUUGAAUCUUCGUUACCAGUUGGAUUGCAGGAUGAAAGGUUCAAAUCUCUACCUGAACCUGGUCGACGAAGUUCCGAUCAUGGAAAGUUUGCAGAAGAUCUCAAGCAAUUCUCUAGGUCUUCUCAUUUGGAUUCUGAUCUUGUUCCAAAAUUUGGGAAUUACUUUUCAUCUUCAAGGCCACUUGACAGGGGUUCUCAAGGAUUUGUUAUGGAUGCUGCCCAGGGGCUUCUUGACAAGGCACCUCUUGGAUUCAAUUAUGAUUCUGGCUUUAAAUCCAGUGCUGGCACUGGCACUUCAAGGUUCUUUCCUCCUCCUCAUCCAGGUGGUGAUGGAGAGAGAUCCCGAGCAGUUGGUUUUCAUGAAGAUAAUGUUGGAAGAUCAGAUAUGGCUCGUACUCAUCCAAAUUUUCUUGGAUCUGUUCCUGAAUAUGGUCGGCAUCAUAUGGAUGGUUUAAAUCCACGAAGCCCAACCAGAGAGUUCUCUGGCAUUCCCCAUCGUGGAUUUGGUGGCCUUUCUGGUGUUCCUGGCAGACAGUCAGACCUAGAUGAUAUAGAUGGCCGUGAAUCACGUCGAUUUGGCGAAGGAUCCAAAACCUUCAACCUACCCUCUGAUGAAAGUAGGUUUCCAGUUUUGCCCAGCCACUUGCGUAGAGGUGAGCUUGAAGGUCCUGGGGAAUUGGUGAUGGCUGAUCCUAUAGCAUCUAGACCUGCUCCCCACCAUUUGAGGGGUGGUGAUUUAAUUGGUCAAGAUAUUCUUCCUAGCCAUUUGCAGAGGGGUGAACAUUUUGGUUCUCGGAAUAUCCCUGGUCAGUUGCGGUUUGGAGAGCCAGUUUUUGAUGCCUUUCUCGGUCAUCCACGGAUGGGGGAACUGUCUGGGCCUGGAAACUUCCCUUCGCGCCUAUCAGCUGGUGAAUCAUUUGGAGGAAGCAACAAGUCAGGCCAUCCACGAAUUGGUGAGCCUGGAUUUAGGAGCACCUAUUCUCUCCAUGGCUAUCCAAAUGAUCAUGGAUUCAGGCCUCCUGGUGACAUGGAGUCUUUUGAUAACUCAAGAAAGAGGAAGCCACUAAGUAUGGCAUGGUGCCGCAUUUGUAACAUUGACUGUGAAACAGUGGAUGGUUUGGAUAUGCAUUCACAGACAAGGGAGCACCAACAGAUGGCUAUGGAUAUUGUCUUAAGCAUCAAGCAGCAGAAUGCAAAAAAACAGAAAUUGACUUCCAAGGAUCACUCAACCCCUGAAGAUUCAAGCAAAUCAAAGAAGGGUGUCUUGAGGGGCGCAGGAAUAAGCAUUAAGCCAUAGUAGUGCUGGAAACUGGACUGAAAUGGGUUCACUGCUGACCUGUGAUUGGAUUUGGUUCUAUGGUACUUAUGGUUUUAGCAAUAUAGGUGAUUCACAUUCCAUGCCUUCUUUCUUUUCUCGGGAUGGUUUAUGGUAGUUCUGUCAUUUCUGGUUGCUGCAAGGAGUUUUUUUUGGAUCUGGAGUUUCAUGGCAAUCUUUUCAAUUCAACCCCCGUCUUUUUCGGAGAAGCAGACGACAUAAGCGCUGAAAGUUCAGCAGAGAGGUUUACUCAGGUCAUAUAUUUUUUUUGGAUGUGGUAAGAUUAUGUUCAAUGCACAGAUUUUCUUUGCAUCAAAAUUUGGUUUUUAGUUGUGAUUUCCUUGAACUAAUGACUUGUUGGGGUCAGUUAUACUCUUUUGCCUUGCCAACCAACUGAAUCUUUUAGAGUUCAAUAUCUCAAUAUGAAAUCUAGAUUUUGUAGGGUAACAUAUUGAUAUUAGGAAAGUCUUGAGGUUUCAUGUUUGGUAUUGGAUAUUGUUGAACACCAUAUGUUGAUUUUUAGGUUUCUAAUUAUUUUGUAUGACAAUUUAAUAUUUUUGUCUGGUUAAUUUCAUUAACUGUGACAAAUUGAGUCCUGAUUAUUAUGCUGUUGUGCUACAAAUGGGCGAAGGACUAUUCUUUAUUUGUUCUUGUAAUAUAGCCCUAGGAUUGAACAAAUACUCAUCCCUAUUCCCUGAGAAGUUAACAAACACACAUUCCUGUUGUCUAAGCUUAUUUAAUUUAGAAAGUUUGGUAAAUUCAGGACAGUUGAUAGGUACUUAAUGUCUAAAAUUUAAUCUAAAUGGUUAAAAAUCAUAUUUCUUGGAAUCUUUCAGUUAUAUCACUUGGAUAUCCCUUGUCUUUUUUAUGUACUUGUAAGUAUGUGAUGAAGACUGGCUUACAGUGGAAAUUCAUUGAGGAGUUUUAGAGGUGUGAGGAUACAAGCUUAAUCAAGCAGAGUUUUGAGCCUUUGCAAAUUUGGAAUUCGACAUUUGAAACUAGCUUAUCAUGUGCAAGCAACUAAUUUGAGGGUGUUGUGAUGUGCAAUAUUUCAUAGUAAAUGGCAUACCAUGUACUGCAUCCAUUAUAGGUAAUAUUGGAUAGGAUUGAUCAAAAUUGUGGGGGUAGGCUAUUGUAUUAUCAUAUAAGUGACGUGAGCAGAAUUUUUCAGUGCUUGCCAACAAUUAAGAUAUGAGUUCAAUUUUGUACAGCCCAAUUACUAACUUUAUUUAAGUAGAAAUUCAUAUUCUUACAACCUAGGUUUUAUGUGAAUAUCCUUUGAAAACUACUCAUUCUUAAUUGUCUUGGAACUACAGGAAUAUGUACGUUUAAAUAGCUUUAUUCCUCAGGUGAUUCUGUGCCGUGUUGUUUUGAUUUUUUUCAUGUUUAUUAUACCUUGGGUGAUUUUCUGCCAUUUCAUUCUGAUUUUUAGAUGUUUAUUUACUCUAAAAACAAAAGAGAGCAUAGUUUUUCAAGUAGUCUAUUGUUAGAAAGUAGUGGAGAAAAUGGUUCUGGGUCUGUUUUUGUGUUGGGCAAAUUACAGGCAUUAUGAAGAAUAAAGAUGUGAAACCCAGCAGAAGCUAGCUUAUUUUGCUCCAAUUAAUGAAUCUGAGGCUCUAAGAAAGCCCACAUGGUAAUUGUUUUAAGGUAGGCACUAUAUCCUCUACUUCCACUAUUAAGGGAUGCAGUGAUACAUAAGCUUUAGGUGAAAUAUUGAAUACAACUGGACAAAACAAGGGAGGAGGUGUGGUGGGGGCCAGCACAAUCCCCCUUUUGAAACAUAAUUGAGAAGAAUAAUUUUUAUGUCUUGUGAUUCGUCCAUCCUAAAAUAAGCAUGUUGAGUUUAUAAUGCUAUAUGAUUGAUUGAAUUAAGGUUUAGGAAUAAAAUAUUUAGCACAGGUUUAUGUAUAGUACAUGGGGUUGUUCUAUGUUCGCAGUUUUGAAAUUAUAGAGUUGACCUGAAAUUGACUGGUUGUUGAAGUAAUGUGUCAGGUUUGAGAGUUUUUCUCAAUGUGCUGGUUUGACCAAAUUAAUUAGAAUAUUUUAUUCAAGGGUUGUCUGGGUUGGUGCUUCUGGACGAGUUGUCCUUAGGUCAAAUGGCUGGUUGAACUGGACAUGAACUUGUUCUAGAUUUGACCCUGAACUGUUGGUUGGAAUAUUAAUGGGUCAGGUUACGCAUUUUGCUGAUUGUGCUUUGUAUUGAUCAAGCAUUUUAUUUUUCAUGGUUUUGAUCAACAUGAAUUAUCUCUUUCAUUAAUAAUUGGAUUUCUCUUAGGCUUACAAACUUAUCCUGAAUUCUACCCUAUUAUAUUGUCCUUGUAAUAAACUUUGCUGGGUUCAUGCUGCACCAUUAAGAUUAUCGAUCUAUAUGUGGCUUUAGACUUGUCUAAGCCUCUUUUAUUGCUUGUUCUCUUAGCAGUAAUUAUUUCAAUGGCACAAGUUUGGGGCAAGGGCCUUUUUAUGGAACAAGACCUGGACAUGAAGGGCUCAUGGCAUUAUUAUGAUGAUGAUGAUGAUCAUUAUUAUUCUAAAAUAAACUUCCUUGCCCAAAGCCCAAAGAACAAAAAAAAUUUCAAGAAUGAGCUUUUGAGAGUAUGAUCUGAUUGCUCCAUGGUUUAAGAGAGACUACGUGUCCAGUCCUUUCAAAUAGUGUGAAAUAAACACAAUGGGACAGUCCUUGCCUUCCUAUGGUUUUUCCUGACCACUGUCCCAUGUCAACUUUGAAGUGUCUCUUACCAAAAAGGGCGACACCCGCCCGACGCAAAAGGAAGAAAAUACCAAAUGCAACAAUAUCUGAAGAAGAACAUUGAUUCUUCACCGCCCUUGGAAAUGUGACAUUUAUUCAUCCAAGGUCCAUCCUCUCCUUCUUGACUGAACCAAAGUUAAAUUCUCCCUGAGACAGAUUGGGAGAGAAUACUGACUAGGAUUUUUUCCAUCCUUGUAAUUCCAUCCAAAACAAUCUCUCUUCCUCAUUUCACCGAUUUCUCUUGCAGUUUGAAAAGAAACGCCAUAACACUUUCUAGUUCCCAUUCAUGAAAUUGUCUUAAGAAACAGGAUCUUCAAUGCCCUUUCUCACCUUACUUAUCCACACAUCUACAACCUAAGCAUCCUUUGAAGUAGCUGUGAUAAACAGAAAAGGAAAGAAGAUGCCCAAGGUUGAAUCAUCACAUCAAAUAUUCUUUUAAUAUUUCACUCUCCUUUCAUCUCCCAUAGUUAGGCAUGUUCCACAUUUAAAAUAUGAGCAGAAAAGAAGAAUAUGUUCUUUUCCAUCCUUUCCAUAAAUUGUUAGUUUUCAAAUUUUUUCCUCAAACCUUAAAUCAUUUGUCCAACCUUGUUCAUCACGAUUUUGAGACCCCUUAAUUAUUUAUGCCAUCAUCAUUAGAGAAAUGUUUGAUUGAGGUGCUACUUUGUUUAUCAUCAAAAGAUUUUACAUUAAUUGAGUACCUAGUUGUAGCAUUAGCAUGACUACAAGUCUUAAGUUGUAGUUGUUUGGCAGACUGUUAACUUGGCCAUCUAGGACUUCAUACUUUCCCUCCACCAGGUUUGUAUUUCUCCUGUUGCAAUCUUUGAAAUUUGCUAUGUGGUACAUUGAAGCUGAAGCUAAUGUUACUUUUUGUUGACCUUCACCUGUAGUUAUAUGAUAUAUGUUAUAUUAAAUAUUGUGUCGACCUUCAUCUUGUUUUUUGCUUUCACAAGCAUGAUGGCUUGUUCCUGUUUAUAAUUUUGUUCACUUCAUGUACGACUGAAUGGGAAAAGGGUCAUGAACUUCAUAUUCAAUGCUAAUGAAUUGUUUCAUCUC